Molecule: ribosomal RNA, 403 nt
Filed under: uncultured bacterium
Lineage: Bacteria
Description: partial 16S ribosomal RNA
Rfam family: Bacterial small subunit ribosomal RNA
Source: RNAcentral
GACGAACGCUGGCGGCGUGCCUAAUACAUGCAAGUCGAACGCAGUGGGGACGGGUGAGUAACACGUGGGUAACCUCCCAUCAGAGGGGAUAACACUUGGAAACAGGUGCUAAACCGAUACUGAUGGAUGAACCCGCGGUGCAUUAGCUAGUUGGUGAGGUAACGGCUCACCAAGGCCACGAUGCAUAGCCGAACUGAUAGGGUGAGUGGCCCAACGGCAACUUAAGAACGGCCUAGGCGCCUACGGGAGGCAGCAGUGGGGAAAUGUCGGAAAUGGACGAAGGUCUGACCGAGCAACGCCGCGUGAGUAAAGAGGGUUUUCGGAUGGGAAAACACUUUUGUUAGAGAAUCGGUAUCUAACCAGAAGGCCACGGCUAACUACGUGCCAGCAGCCGCGGUAAUAC